Molecule: ribosomal RNA, 497 nt
Filed under: uncultured bacterium
Lineage: Bacteria
Description: partial 16S ribosomal RNA
Rfam family: Bacterial small subunit ribosomal RNA
Source: RNAcentral
GAUGAACGCUGGCGGCGUGCCUAAUACAUGCAAGUCGAGCGAACGGACGAGAAGCUUGCUUCUCUGAUGUUAGCGGCGGACGGGUGAGUAACACGUGGAUAACCUACCUAUCAGACUGGGAUAACUUCGGGAAACCGGAGCUAAUACCGGAUAAUAUUUUGAACCGCAUUGUUCAAAAGUGAAAGACGGUCUUGCUGUCACUUAUAGAUGGAUCCGCGCUGCAUUAGCUAGUUGGUAAGGUAACGGCUUACCAAGGCAACGAUGCAUAGCCGACCUGAGAGGGUGAUAGGCCACACUGGAACUGAGACACGGUCCAGACUCCUACGGGAGGCAGCAGUAGGGAAUCUUCCGCAAUGGGCGAAAGCCUGACGGAGCAACGCCGCGUGAGUGAUGAAGGUCUUCGGAUCGUAAAACUCUGUUAUGAGGGAAGAACAUAUGUGUAAGUAACUGUGCACAUCGUGACGGUACCUAAUCAGAAAGCCACGGCUAACUACGUG